Molecule: ribosomal RNA, 254 nt
Filed under: uncultured bacterium
Lineage: Bacteria
Description: partial 16S ribosomal RNA
Rfam family: Bacterial small subunit ribosomal RNA
Source: RNAcentral
UACGUAGGGUGCGAGCGUUGUCCGGAAUUACUGGGCGUAAAGAGCUCGUAGGUGGUUUGUCGCGUUGUUCGUGAAAACCGGGGGCUUAACCCUCGGCGUGCGGGCGAUACGGGCAGGCUGGAGGCUGGUAGGGGCAAGCGGAAUUCCUGGUGUAGCGGUGAAAUGCGCAGAUAUCAGGAGGAACACCGGUGGCGAAGGCGGCUUGCUGGGCCAGUUCUGACGCUGGAGGAGCGAAAGCGUGGGGAGCGAACAGG